UCAUACGCGGGAUGCUGUGACACGCGGCCCACACCCCGGCCGCCGGGACCGCGCCGAGCCACUGGCGAGACCGACCCGCCGCUUG
This 85-nucleotide non-coding RNA is filed under the name unclassified sequences. RNAcentral describes it as "c-di-GMP sequence". It matches the Rfam family "c-di-GMP-II-GAG riboswitch aptamer". The record is from Rfam by way of RNAcentral.